Long non-coding RNA from Pseudophryne corroboree (corroboree frog), 463 nucleotides. RefSeq lists it as uncharacterized. The record is from RefSeq and is a predicted model, not a curated record. The transcript is spliced from 2 exons. NCBI's taxonomy places the organism in Eukaryota, Metazoa, Chordata, Amphibia, Anura, Myobatrachidae.
CCCUCCGUGACCCAACCCACCUCUCCGCCACCCUCCCCCUCUCAAUCUGACCCACCCUCUGUACCAAGCUCCCCCUUCCAGCCUCCUUCCUCCAUCCAGCCUCCUACCCCCAUCCAGCAUCCUUCCCCGAUCCAGCCUCCUUCCCCCAUCCAGCCUCCUACCCCCAUCCAGCCUCCUUCCCCCAUCCAGCCGCCAUCCCCCAUCCAGCCGCCAUCCCCACCUUCCGAAUGGGCAGCAGGGGCCCCGGAGGCACUUCUGGGAGGAGAACAAGUGCCACGGGACAAUGUUGCAGUUGGAGAUCCCACUACUUUUAGGGGCAUUCUUGCCACCAUGCGAGAACACCUGCAGGGAUUGCUGAGGAGUGUGGAGCAGCUGGAGAAGUUUGCCUAAUUUUUUAUUUUAAACAUUUUAUUGUUGUUAAAAAAAAAAAAAACACAAAUAAAAAAAUAUAUUUUCAACUUAA